CAAUAGCGUAUAUUAAAGCUGUUGCGGUUAAAAAGCUCGUAGUUGGAUUUCUGUCAAGGACAACUGGUCCGCCCUCCGGGUGAGCACAUAGUUUGGUCUUGACAUCUUGCUGGAAGCUGUUGCUGCACUUGGCUGUGUGGCGCAGUGUUCAGCACUUUCACUUUGAGGAAAUUGGAGUGUUUCAAGCAGGCACAUGCCUUUGGACACAGUAGCAUGGAAUAAUUAGAUUGGGCUUUUGCUCCAAUUUGUCGGUUUCUGGAGCUGAGGUGAGUAUUAAUGGGGAUUGUUGGGGGCAUCCGAAUUUAGCCGUCAGAGGUGAAAUUCUUGGAUCUGCUAAAGACGGACAACCGCGAAAGCGUUUGCCCAGGAUGUUUUCAUUGA
Molecule: ribosomal RNA, 381 nt
Filed under: uncultured eukaryote
Lineage: Eukaryota
Description: partial 18S ribosomal RNA
Rfam family: Eukaryotic small subunit ribosomal RNA
Source: RNAcentral